UGCCACGGCCCUCAAACAUGAGGGGCCAUCCUUUAGAAACCCUCUCUAGUUGUUUAGACAACUAGGCCACCGGCCUCAGCCAGGGCCCCAGAGUUUCGGUUAAAAGUCCAGCUGCCAUCUUUUCUCUAUCUGACGCAUUCAAUGGAAAAGGCUUUGUCAGAUCGGGUAGCCCCAGGGCUGGGGCUGCCAGAAGUUUUUCCUUUAACUCCUGAAAGACUUUUUGUUCUUGGGAUCCCCAUUCCAAAGGUUCCGUUCCCCGCCCCCUUUGUGACCUCAUACAAAGGCUUGGCUAAUACUGCAAAGUUUGGGAUCCAGUCUACAAAACCCCACAGCUCCCAAGAAUUCCCUUACCUGCCUUCUGCCCUUAGGCUCCGGUAGAUUGUAAAUAACCUGCUUUCUUUCUGUUCCCGGGCUGCGUUCGGACCCCUGUCGGAUAGUAAAUCCCAAGCAAGGUACCUGCCGUCAGCAGAUUUGAGCUUUCUUCUUGGACACCUAAUACCCACAGUCCUCCAGGCUCCGGUAGAUUGCAAAUGACCUGCUUUCUUUCUGUUCCCGGGCUGCGUUCGGACCCCUGUCGGAUAGUAACUCCCAAGUAAGGUACCUGCCGUCGGCAGAUUGGAGCUUUCUUCUUGGAGACCUAAUACCCACAGUCCUCCAGGCUCCGGUAGAUUGCAAAUGACCUGCUUUCUUUCUGUUCCCGGGCUGCGUUCGGACCCCUGUCGGAGAGUAAAUCCGAAGUGCCACCAUCCAAGUGAGGAUUUCACUGUUCACAGGCAUUUGAGACACACCAGCGGCCGGCGGUUCUCACUGCUCUUCAUAUGGAGGCAACCAUAUAUGGGUAAGUCAUUUAGUCUCUUAGGUAGGCGAACUGAGGCCAAUCUCCCCACUUUUAGGGCUGUGAAACUGUUCUGUAUGAUACAAUAAUGGUGGAUAUGCGUCACUAUACAUUCGUCCAAAUCCACAGAAUGUACAACACCAAGAGUGAACCCUACUGUAAACUAUGGACUCUGAGUGACAAUGAUGCAUCAAAUAGGUUCAUCAGUUGUAAUAAAUGCACUGCUCUGGUGC
RNAcentral lists this long non-coding RNA (1068 nucleotides) under Homo sapiens (human). RNAcentral's name for it is "TPT1 antisense RNA 1". The record is from RNAcentral. Lineage: Eukaryota; Metazoa; Chordata; Mammalia; Primates; Hominidae.